GACAGAGGUCCCGAGCGUUAGACGGAAUCACUGGGCUUAAAGCGUGUGUAGGCGGAUCUGUAAGUACCUUGUGAAAUCCCAUAGCUUAACUAUGGAACUGCUUGGUAUACUGCGGGUCUUGAGCCACUUAGGGGCAACCGGAACAAAUGGUGGAGCGGUGAAAUGCGUAGAUAUCAUUUGGAACGCCAAUGGUGAAAACAGGUUGCUGGGAGUGUGCUGACGCUGAGACACGAAAGCCAGGGGAGCAAACGGA
RNAcentral lists this ribosomal RNA (253 nucleotides) under uncultured bacterium. Its description in RNAcentral is "partial 16S ribosomal RNA". It matches the Rfam family "Bacterial small subunit ribosomal RNA", at positions 524 to 776 of the family's 1533-position model. The record is from RNAcentral.